UGUAAAGUACUGCUCAGAUGACGCCACUUUCCACUCAGUAAGAGUACUAAGUGGCGGGGCGAAAUUAGCCCUUCCACAGACUGCCCUGCGGAGAUAUCAGCCAGAUUGUGGAGGCGGGGAUCGACGGACAGGGCCAAGAUCCUAUGAUAAAUAUUUUCAAGGGAUGGGACCCGAGAUUCGAACCCGGCUUCCAGAAUAGAAAGCCAAAGCGUUUCCACGCGGCCAGUCCGGCCAAUUCAAACUACAAGGAAGCACAAACUGGAAACCCUUUUAAGAUGAUUACAAAAAUUCUUUGUUCUUGGCUAAAAGUCAAGCGAUCGAGGAUAACGAAGAGGAGGAAGCAGACGAUAGCUACGAUCUAGAUGAUCAAUCUUUAGACUUUUUAGAAGAUCUGGAUCUCUAGCCC
This 406-nucleotide long non-coding RNA is filed under the name Androctonus crassicauda. The record is from RNAcentral. Lineage: Eukaryota; Metazoa; Arthropoda; Arachnida; Scorpiones; Buthidae.